AUUGAACGCUGGCGGCAGGCCUAACACAUGCAAGUCGAGCGAGCGGCGGACGGGUGAGUAAUGUCUGGGACACUGCCUGAUGGAGGGGGAUAGCUACUGGAAACGGUAGCUAAUACCGCAUAACAUCAGAUGUGCCCAGAUGGGAUUAGCGAGUAGGUGGGGUAACGGCUCACCUAGGCGACGAGCCCUAGCGGGUCUGAGAGGAUGACCAGCCACACUGGAACUGAGACACGGUCCAGACUCCUACGGGAGGCAGCAGUGGGGAAUAUUGCACAAUGGGCGCAAGCCUGAUGCAGCCAUGCCGCGUGUAUGAAGAAGGCCUUCGGGUUGUAAAGUACUUUCAGCGGGGAGGCGUUACCCGCAGAAGAAGCACCGGCUAACUCCGUGCCAGCAGCCGCGGUAAUAC
RNAcentral lists this ribosomal RNA (406 nucleotides) under uncultured bacterium. RNAcentral's name for it is "partial 16S ribosomal RNA". It matches the Rfam family "Bacterial small subunit ribosomal RNA", at positions 29 to 526 of the family's 1533-position model. The record is from RNAcentral.